Flammula alnicola is the source of this 94-nucleotide non-coding RNA. Lineage: Eukaryota; Fungi; Basidiomycota; Agaricomycetes; Agaricales; Strophariaceae. The record is from the annotation of a GenBank genome assembly.
GCAUUAAUGGGGUAGUGGUAACCUGGGUCGUUGCCAUCGGACAUCGCGAAAUUGGAUACUCGACCCGCCGGGAGUUCAAUUCUCUCUUAAUGCA